RNAcentral lists this ribosomal RNA (385 nucleotides) under uncultured bacterium. Its description in RNAcentral is "bacterial SSU rRNA". It matches the Rfam family "Bacterial small subunit ribosomal RNA", at positions 350 to 751 of the family's 1533-position model. The record is from RNAcentral.
AGCAGUGGGGAAUAUUGGACAAUGGGCGCAAGCCUGAUCCAGCAAUGCCGCGUGGAUGAAGAAGGUUUUCGGAUUGUAAAGUCCUUUCGGCGGGGACGAUGAUGACGGUACCCGCAGAAGAAGCCCCGGCUAACUUCGUGCCAGCAGCCGCGGUAAUACGAAGGGGGCUAGCGUUGCUCGGAAUGACUGGGCGUAAAGGGCGCGUAGGCGGAUUGUGCAGUCGGGCGUGAAAUUCCUGGGCUUAACCUGGGGGGCUGCGUUCGAGACGCAUGGUCUGGAGUGGGGAAGAGGGUCGUGGAAUUCCCAGUGUAGAGGUGAAAUUCGUAGAUAUUGGGAAGAACACCGGUGGCGAAAGCGGCGACCUGGUCCUUGACUGACGCUGAGG